RNAcentral lists this ribosomal RNA (497 nucleotides) under uncultured bacterium. RNAcentral's name for it is "partial 16S ribosomal RNA". It matches the Rfam family "Bacterial small subunit ribosomal RNA", at positions 28 to 507 of the family's 1533-position model. The record is from RNAcentral.
GAUGAACGCUGGCGGCGUGCCUAAUACAUGCAAGUCGAGCGAACAGAUAAGGAGCUUGCUCCUUUGACGUUAGCGGCGGACGGGUGAGUAACACGUGGGUAACCUACCUAUAAGACUGGAAUAACUCCGGGAAACCGGGGCUAAUGCCGGAUAACAUUUAGAACCGCAUGGUUCUAAAGUGAAAGAUGGUUUUGCUAUCACUUAUAGAUGGACCCGCGCCGUAUUAGCUAGUUGGUAAGGUAACGGCUUACCAAGGCAACGAUGCGUAGCCGACCUGAGAGGGUGAUCGGCCACACUGGAACUGAGACACGGUCCAGACUCCUACGGGAGGCAGCAGUAGGGAAUCUUCCGCAAUGGGCGAAAGCCUGACGGAGCAACGCCGCGUGAGUGAUGAAGGUCUUCGGAUCGUAAAACUCUGUUAUUAGGGAAGAACAAAUGUGUAAGUAACUAUGCACGUCUUGACGGUACCUAAUCAGAAAGCCACGGCUAACUACGUG